AAAAGUAGAAUUAAGACAUCCGGGAUAAAUGACUCAGCUGAGCUCAAUGAAGCCAAAACAUGUGCGUCCAGGCUUAAUUGGUUGCACAAAGACCAAGCCAGGAUGAGCAGACACGGAUUCAUUAACCAGGUGAAACCAAUCCUGGAUAGGUGCGCGCUCACGGCUCACUCAAAUAGACCCGCCACAGAUCACAGAUUAACUGAUUUACCAUGGCAACUAGAGCCGCGUACUUUUCCCCGUCGGAAGCACAAAUCCUCAUGGAGGCAUACGAGGAGGUAAAAUAUAUAAUUAAGAAGAAAGGCAACACCGCCACAGUGAUAAAGCAAAGAGAAAAAGUGUGGCAAAGUAUUGCAGACCGCCUGAAUGCGUAAGUAGUGCACAAUUACACACUCACCGCUCCGCUGAAACAUCACAAUUACAAUUCAAAUAUUUAAUUCACAUCUCCAAAAAUGCAGUUGUACUGUAAUUAUGAAACGGUUAAAUUUUUAAUUGAAAUGCACUGCAGAUAUGAGUGAAAUUGUGUAAAGUAACUCCAUCACACUGUAUAAAGCUAUGAUACAUUUUUUGAUAUUUUUACUGAAAACAAGACAAAAAUACCAAGUAAUUUUUGCAGUGUGACUCCAUUAAAUGUGUGUGUGUGUGUGUGUGUGUGUGUGUGUGUGUGUGUGUGUAGAGAUUAAACAUGAACGGGCCAAAACGGACAUGGCAGCAGGUCAAAAUCAAAUACAAGAACAUUCUGCAGAAUGCAGUGAAAAAGAAUACCCACAGACAAGGCACGGGUGGUGGGUCACCAAAGGCUGACCUUACCCCAGCAGAGGACAUGGCCUUGGAGCUAAAUAAAGGCAGGCCCGUCUUAGAGGGGAUCCCUGGGGGAAAGAGACGAGCAUAGGUUCCUCCCAAGAUGCCACCCGCUUCAUUCAAGUGCCUGGCAGCACUGUGUUCCUGUUAGAGCCACCAGCACAAGCACCAGACGAUGCUGAUCCAGGUGAAGGCCCCAGUGCAGCAGCAACAGCACAUGAUGGAGAUGAUGAUGAGGAGGAGACCAUCUCUCUGGAUUCCAGAAGGCAUGAGGACCCAGAUGCUAUACAGUGGGAAAACCAGCCUGGCAACAUAAGCUCACAAGCUAUCAGAAAGUUGUAUGGCAACCACCUUCCCAGCAAUCAGUACAACCAAGUCAUCGUUAUAAGGCAUCGCCCUCUUUUGCCCACCCCCCCAGCACCAGGUGUGGCCACUAGCCUAUAUGAAGGCCCAAAAUUGUGUGUUCCUUUCUGCUCUGACAAUGGCAUGCCCAUUCGUGCGAGAUGUGGUGGAUGAAGAAGCACUUGUGCUGAGGAGAGCCUUCAGGCGAGAAAGGGUCUUCAGGGACCGGUUGGACCCACUGGCCUUCCCUGAUGACCAUCUAUAUGAAAGAUACAGGUUUUCUGCAGAUGGCAUCAGGUAUCUAUGCAGACUACUGGGUCCCAGGAUUAAGCACCGCACUGCACGGAGCCAUGCACUGAGUGUGGAGCAAAUGGUUUGUGUGGCCUUGCGCUUUUUUGCUAGUGGAGCCUUCCUGUACUCAGUGGGGGAUGCAGAACAGCUGAACAAGGCCACAAUUUGCCGCACAAUAAGGAGUGUGUGUCUGGCUAUCAAAGCAUUAGCAGAUGUCUUCAUCUCCUUCCCUGGCCACAGAAGACUCUGUGACAUCAAAGAGGAGUUCUAUAGGAUUGCAGGUAAGAGGAUCUACAAAUUACAGGAC
Oncorhynchus nerka (sockeye salmon) is the source of this 1738-nucleotide long non-coding RNA. RefSeq lists it as uncharacterized. The record is from RefSeq and is a predicted model, not a curated record. The transcript is spliced from 6 exons. NCBI's taxonomy places the organism in Eukaryota, Metazoa, Chordata, Actinopteri, Salmoniformes, Salmonidae.